RNAcentral lists this ribosomal RNA (465 nucleotides) under bacterium ND2003. RNAcentral describes it as "bacterial SSU rRNA". It matches the Rfam family "Bacterial small subunit ribosomal RNA", at positions 28 to 462 of the family's 1533-position model. The record is from RNAcentral.
GACGAACGCUGGCGGCGUGCCUAACACAUGCAAGUCGAGCGGGGACAUUGCGACGGAUAUGAAGUUUUCGGAUGGAUUUGAAGAUGUAAUGUUCUAGCGGCGGACGGGUGAGUAACGCGUGAGCAACCUGUCCCUUACAGGGGGAUAACACAGCGAAAGUUGUACUAAUACCGCAUGAGACCACAGAGCGACAUCGCUUAGGGGUCAAAGGAGUAAUCCGGUAAGGGGUGGGCUCGCGUCCGAUUAGAUAGUUGGUGAGGUAACGGCCCACCAAGUCGACGAUCGGUAGCCGACCUGAGAGGGUGAUCGGCCACAUUGGGACUGAGACACGGCCCAAACUCCUACGGGAGGCAGCAGUGGGGAAUAUUGGGCAAUGGGGGAAACCCUGACCCAGCAACGCCGCGUGAGGGAAGAAGGUUUUCGGAUCGUAAACCUCUGUCCUUGGUGAAGAGAAAGAGACGUAGC